This 573-nucleotide unclassified non-coding RNA is filed under the name Hevea brasiliensis (rubber tree). Lineage: Eukaryota; Viridiplantae; Streptophyta; Magnoliopsida; Malpighiales; Euphorbiaceae. The record is from RNAcentral.
CGUUAAUCAGCUCUAAUUGCCAAAUUACUGUCCACUUCCUUUGAUAAAAGCAAAUGCGACUACUAUCAAACAUAUGGCAUAUGAUGUAACGUACAAGUAAACUAUUCAUAUCGACUGUAAGAAGUCUGAGAAAAUGAAAAGAGAACGAGCGCCAUCUCCUCUAGAUCUCCAUCGGAAUUCCCAUUCUAUCUGGCGGGGGCUUCUCCAGAUGCUUGCUUUUUCAUGUUAGCAAUGUGCUUUUUACCGGUGACAUGAUUACUGAAAACAGUCUCACUGUUGCAAACCACUUUACAUACAAGACACUGACGGACGUCGUUUGCAGCUGCUCCUCCUUCCAAAACCUUUUGUGUCUUGGUCUCCAACUUCACACUCAGCUCAGCUGCCUUCUUCAUUGCAUCUUUCGCAUCUCCAGAAUUUACUAUGUCAGGCUUCUCUUGUGGUCCAAUAGAUGUACUAACUGGCACCUCUGAAGGAACAAGAGAUGCAGAAGCAGGGACAGACUUCUGUUGCUUUGUUACGUUAGCAAUGUGCUUUUUGCCAAUGAGAUGAGUUCUGAAAACAGUCUCACUGUUG